This 358-nucleotide unclassified non-coding RNA is filed under the name soil metagenome. RNAcentral describes it as "partial contains 5.8S ribosomal RNA, internal transcribed spacer 2, and large subunit ribosomal RNA". The stretch from base 1 to 120 matches the Rfam family "5.8S ribosomal RNA", at positions 35 to 154 of the family's 154-position model. The record is from RNAcentral.
GAUGAAGAACGUAGCGAAAUGCGAUAAGUAAUGUGAAUUGCAGAAUUCAGUGAAUCAUCGAAUCUUUGAACGCACAUUGCGCCCGUCAGUAUUCUGGCGGGCAUGCCUGUUCGAGCGUCAUUACGCCCCUCAAGUCCCCUGUGAACUUGGUGUUGGGGAUCGGCGAGGCUGGUUUUCCAGCACAGCCGUCCCUUAAAUUAAUUGGCGGUCUCGCCGUGGCCCUCCUCUGCGCAGUAGUAAAACACUCGCAACAGGAGCCCGGCGCGGUCCACUGCCGUAAAACCCCCCAACUUUUUAUAGUUGACCUCGAAUCAGGUAGGACUACCCGCUGAACUUAAGCAUAUCAAUAAGCGGAGGA